AACGAACGCUGGCGGCAUGCCUAACACAUGCAAGUCGAACGAGCCCUUCGUGCCUAGUGGCGCACGGGUGUGUAACGCGAGGGAACCUGCCGUUAGGAUCGGAAAAAUUACCUGAAUGGGGUGCUAAUAUCGGUUAAUGUCAUCGGACCUAAGAUGUAUCGCCUUUGGUUGGGCCCGCGUUGGAUUAGCUAGUUGGUAGGGUAAAAGCCUACCAAGGCGACGAUCCAUAGCUGGGCUGAGAGGAUGAUCAGCCACACUGGGACUGAGACACGGACCAGAACCCUACGGAAGGCAGCAGGGGGGAAUAUUGGACGACGGGCGAGAGCCUGAGCCAUCAGGGCCGCGUAGGUGAGUAGGGCGAUAGGAAUGUGAAGCUCUGUGACACGGGAUGAUAAUGACGGUACCGUAAGAAUAAGCGCCGGCUAACUCCGUG
RNAcentral lists this ribosomal RNA (433 nucleotides) under uncultured bacterium. RNAcentral's name for it is "partial 16S ribosomal RNA". It matches the Rfam family "Bacterial small subunit ribosomal RNA", at positions 29 to 507 of the family's 1533-position model. The record is from RNAcentral.